UACGGGGGGGGCAAGCGUUGUUCGGAAUUACUGGGCGUAAAGGGCUCGUAGGUGGCCAACUAAGUCAGACGUGAAAUCCCUCGGCUUAACCGGGGAACUGCGUCUGAUACUGGAUGGCUUGAGUUUGGGAGAGGGACGCGGAAUUCCAGGUGUAGCGGUGAAAUGCGUAGAUAUCUGGAGGAACACCGGUGGCGAAGGCGGCGUCCUGGACCAAUACUGACACUGAGGAGCGAAAGCCAGGGGAGCAAACGGG
This 253-nucleotide ribosomal RNA is filed under the name uncultured bacterium. RNAcentral's name for it is "partial 16S ribosomal RNA". It matches the Rfam family "Bacterial small subunit ribosomal RNA", at positions 524 to 776 of the family's 1533-position model. The record is from RNAcentral.